RNAcentral lists this ribosomal RNA (772 nucleotides) under uncultured Neocallimastigales. RNAcentral's name for it is "partial large subunit ribosomal RNA". It matches the Rfam family "Eukaryotic large subunit ribosomal RNA", at positions 20 to 649 of the family's 3401-position model. Lineage: Eukaryota; Fungi; Neocallimastigomycota; Neocallimastigomycetes; Neocallimastigales. The record is from RNAcentral.
UACUAGAGUAGCACUCGCAUAUCAAUAAGCGGAGGAAAAGAAACUAACAAGGAUUCCCCUAGUAACGGCGAGUGAAGCGGGAAGAGCUCAAAUUUGAAAUCUUAAAGGGUUUCCCUUUACGAAUUGUAGUUUAAAGAAGUGUUUUCUGUUGAGGUUUUGGUAAAAGUUCUUUGGAAUAGGACAUCAUAGAGGGUGAGAAUCCCGUAUUUGACCUUUACUUUCAACUUUGUGAUACACUUUCAAGAGUCGGAUUGUUUGGGAAUGCAGUCCAAAAUGGGUGGUAAAUUUCAUCUAAAGCUAAAUAUUGGCGAGAGACCGAUAGCGAACAAGUACCGUGAGGGAAAGAUGAAAAGAACUUUGAAAAGAGAGUUAAACAGUACGUGAAAUUGUCAAAAGGGAAGCGUUUGACACCAGUGUUGUUUUCUGAAAAUCAAUUAAAGAACUGUUUAUGCUAAGUUGUUUAGACUUUAUCAGCUAUCUGUUUAGUUUUGAGCUUUUCUUUGAUGCACUUUUCAGUUAACAAGUCAACAUCAAUUUCUUUUGCUGUAAAAAAGCUUGAGGAAGGUGGCUUGAGAUUCGUCUUAAGUGUUUAUAGCCUCUUGCCUAUGCAGUCGGAGAGAUUGAGGUCUGCAGCGUAGAUCCUUCGGGGCUAAAUGCAUUUGUGCUAAGUUAUAGCAUUUUAUAGACAACUUGUUGACUAUGAUUUGUCUUGUAGCUUACUCACUUAUGUUAUUUUACCUACGCUUAGGAUGUUGAGUAGCGACAUACGCAC